CCUACGGGGGGCUGCAGUGGGGAAUAUUGCACAAUGGGGGAAACCCUGAUGCAGCGACGCCGCGUGAAGGAAGAAGGUCCUCGGAUCGUGAACUUCUAUCAGCAGGGAAGAAGAAAGUGACGGUACCUGAAUAAGAAGCCCCGGCUAACUACGUGCCAGCAGCCGCGGUAAUACGUAGGGGGCAAGCGUUAUCCGGAAUCACGGGGUGUAAAGGGUGCGUAGGCGGUAGGGCAAGUCAGAUGUGAAAGGCCGGAGCUCAACUCCGGGAUUGCAUUUGAAACUGUCUUAAUAGAGUGCAGGAGGGGAUGGCGGAAUUCCUAGUGUAGCGGUGAAAUGCGUAGAUAUUAGGAAGAACACCAGUGGCGAAGGCGGCUUUCUGGACUGUAACUGACGCUGAGGCACGAAAGCGUGGGGAGCGAACAGGAUUAGAUACCCUAGUAGUC
This 443-nucleotide ribosomal RNA is filed under the name uncultured bacterium. RNAcentral's name for it is "bacterial SSU rRNA". It matches the Rfam family "Bacterial small subunit ribosomal RNA", at positions 338 to 795 of the family's 1533-position model. The record is from RNAcentral.